GCGGGGUAGCGUUGCUGCGGAGGUCUGGUGACUACCCAAAUGUGCUGGGAGCAGUGUAAGUUGCAGAAAGAGUUCCUUACCAAGAGCAGCGCUAGGGGUUCGAUUCCCCUACCCCGCA
Molecule: transfer RNA, 118 nt
Filed under: Leptolyngbyaceae cyanobacterium SM1_4_3
Lineage: Bacteria; Bacillati; Cyanobacteriota; Cyanophyceae; Leptolyngbyales; Leptolyngbyaceae
Description: tRNA-OTHER
Source: RNAcentral